Molecule: non-coding RNA, 130 nt
Filed under: Streptomyces regalis
Lineage: Bacteria; Bacillati; Actinomycetota; Actinomycetes; Kitasatosporales; Streptomycetaceae
Source: RNAcentral
CUUUCUGUUACGCUCCCCGGGCCUCCCGCGGGGGAAGUCCGGUGAGAGUCCGGCGCUGACCCGCAACGGUGUGCGCGGGGACCAUGUGGUCCGUCGCGCGAGCCCGAUCGCCCGUGGUGGGUGCGACCGU